ACUCUUCUAGUGGUGUUAGUAUCUCAGUACUUGCCUUUACAGACUCAAGCAUCAGCCUAUACUUACUCUUCCCCUCCUCCUCCUUAUCACUAUAAGUCACCACCACCCCCUCCCCCGGUUCACUCACCACCACCACCACCCUACCACUACAAAUCACCACCACCGCCACCCCCGGUUCACUCACCACCACCACCUUACCAUUAUAAGUCCCCACCCCCACCACCUCCCAAGCACUCACCACCUCCUCCUUACCACUACAAAUCACCACCACCUCCUCCUCCUGUCCACUCACCACCCCCUCCUUACCAUUAUAAAUCCCCACCUCCACCAGUGCACUCACCACCUCCUCCAUACCACUAUAAAUCCCCACCACCACCACCUCCAGUUCACUCUCCACCCCCACCAUAUCAUUACAAGUCACCACCACCGCCAGUACACUCACCACCUCCUCCUUAUCACUACAAGUCACCACCACCACCAGUGCACUCCCCCCCCCCACCAUAUCAUUACAAGUCACCACCACCGCCAGUACACUCACCACCACCUCCUUAUCACUACAAGUCACCACCACCACCAGUGCACUCCCCUCCCCCACCAUACCACUACAAAUCACCACCACCCCCAGUGCAUUCACCACCACCACCAUACCACUAUAAGUCACCACCACCUCCAGUGCACUCACCACCACCCCCUUACCAUUACAAGUCACCACCUCCACCACCACCAGUACACUCCCCUCCCCCACCUUAUCACUACAAGUCACCACCACCCCCAGUGCAUUCACCACCACCACCAUACCACUAUAAGUCACCACCUCCCCCUCCACCCGUACACUCCCCUCCCCCCCCCUACCACUACAAAUCACCACCACCCCCAGUGCACUCACCACCACCACCAUACCAUUACAAAUCACCAC
RNAcentral lists this long non-coding RNA (916 nucleotides) under Daucus carota (carrot). Its description in RNAcentral is "long non-coding RNA (DCAR_LNC002982)". The record is from RNAcentral. Lineage: Eukaryota; Viridiplantae; Streptophyta; Magnoliopsida; Apiales; Apiaceae.